GAGGAAUGUAUAGCAAUAGCUACUUGCACCAUUGUCAUAAUGAUGCAAGAUCGACUAUGUCGAAUAAAAUUCUAGGUAGAAUUAUGAUAAUGACAUUGUCUGCCUAUGUGUCUUGACCAAAUUACGUGCCAGCAGUCGCGGUAAUACGUAGAAGACUAGUGUUAAUCAUGUUUAAUCGGUUUAAAGGGUACCUAGACGGCAAAUCAAGCUUUCGAUAAAAUAGAACUAAAGGACUAAUUUGCUAGAGUUACUUAUGAGGGGGUUUUAAAGUACUUUUGGUGUAGAGAUGAAAUUCUGUUAUACCUUUCUUCUAAGGGAGAGUGAUGGCACAGGUAUAGGCGAAGGCAUCCCCUUAUGUGAUAACUGACGUUGAGGGACGAAGGCUUUACAUAAUGAACAGGAUUAGUUACCCCAGUAGUCGAAGCAGAAAAUGAUGAAUGUCAUAGAUUAGAUAUAAGUUUAUUCUAUAAAUGAAAGUGUAAGCAUUCCACCUCAAGAGUAAUUUGGCAACAUUGGAACUGAAAUCAUUAGACCGUUUCUGAAACCAG
Molecule: ribosomal RNA, 548 nt
Filed under: Melanelixia glabra
Lineage: Eukaryota; Fungi; Ascomycota; Lecanoromycetes; Lecanorales; Parmeliaceae
Description: SSU rRNA
Rfam family: Bacterial small subunit ribosomal RNA
Source: RNAcentral